RNAcentral lists this ribosomal RNA (1187 nucleotides) under Escherichia coli. Its description in RNAcentral is "partial 23S ribosomal RNA". It matches the Rfam family "Bacterial large subunit ribosomal RNA", at positions 1 to 1230 of the family's 2925-position model. Lineage: Bacteria; Pseudomonadati; Pseudomonadota; Gammaproteobacteria; Enterobacterales; Enterobacteriaceae. The record is from RNAcentral.
GUUAAGCGACUAAGCGUACACGGUGGAUGCCCUGGCAGUCAGAGGCGAUGAAGGACGUGCUAAUCUGCGAUAAGCGUCGGUAAGGUGAUAUGAACCGUUAUAACCGGCGAUUUCCGAAUGGGGAAACCCAGUGUGAUUCGUCACACUAUCAUUAACUGAAUCCAUAGGUUAAUGAGGCGAACCGGGGGAACUGAAACAUCUAAGUACCCCGAGGAAAAGAAAUCAACCGAGAUUCCCCCAGUAGCGGCGAGCGAACGGGGAGGAGCCCAGAGCCUGAAUCAGUGUGUGUGUUAGUGGAAGCGUCUGGAAAGGCGCGCGAUACAGGGUGACAGCCCCGUACACAAAAAUGCACAUACUGUGAGCUCGAUGAGUAGGGCGGGACACGUGGUAUCCUGUCUGAAUAUGGGGGGACCAUCCUCCAAGGCUAAAUACUCCUGACUGACCGAUAGUGAACCAGUACCGUGAGGGAAAGGCGAAAAGAACCCCGGCGAGGGGAGUGAAAAAGAACCUGAAACCGUGUACGUACAAGCAGUGGGAGCCUCUUUAUGGGGUGACUGCGUACCUUUUGUAUAAUGGGUCAGCGACUUAUAUUCUGUAGCAAGGUUAACCGAAUAGGGGAGCCGAAGGGAAACCGAGUCUUAACUGGGCGUUAAGUUGCAGGGUAUAGACCCGAAACCCGGUGAUCUAGCCAUGGGCAGGUUGAAGGUUGGGUAACACUAACUGGAGGACCGAACCGACUAAUGUUGAAAAAUUAGCGGAUGACUUGUGGCUGGGGGUGAAAGGCCAAUCAAACCGGGAGAUAGCUGGUUCUCCCCGAAAGCUAUUUAGGUAGCGCCUCGUGAAUUCAUCUCCGGGGGUAGAGCACUGUUUCGGCAAGGGGGUCAUCCCGACUUACCAACCCGAUGCAAACUGCGAAUACCGGAGAAUGUUAUCACGGGAGACACACGGCGGGUGCUAACGUCCGUCGUGAAGAGGGAAACAACCCAGACCGCCAGCUAAGGUCCCAAAGUCAUGGUUAAGUGGGAAACGAUGUGGGAAGGCCCAGACAGCCAGGAUGUUGGCUUAGAAGCAGCCAUCAUUUAAAGAAAGCGUAAUAGCUCACUGGUCGAGUCGGCCUGCGCGGAAGAUGUAACGGGGCUAAACCAUGCACCGAAGCUGCGGCAGCGACGCUUAUGCGUUGUUGGGUA